RNAcentral lists this transfer RNA (67 nucleotides) under Savignium sp. BKKC-2014. RNAcentral's name for it is "tRNA-Ile". The record is from RNAcentral. Lineage: Eukaryota; Metazoa; Arthropoda; Thecostraca; Balanomorpha; Pyrgomatidae.
AAUUAAGUGCCUGAUAAAAGGGUUACUUUGAUAGAGUAAAUCAUGUAAAAAAGUCUUACCUUAAUUA